GGGUCGCGAGUCCGUGUGGACGGACGCCGGUCUCCAAAACCGGAACGAACGAGGUUCGACUCCUCGGCGACCUGCCA
RNAcentral lists this transfer RNA (77 nucleotides) under Euzebya pacifica. RNAcentral describes it as "Euzebya sp. DY32-46 tRNA-OTHER". It matches the Rfam family "tRNA". Rfam says of the family: Transfer RNA (tRNA) molecules are approximately 80 nucleotides in length. Their secondary structure includes four short double-helical elements and three loops (D, anti-codon, and T loops). The record is from RNAcentral. Lineage: Bacteria; Bacillati; Actinomycetota; Nitriliruptoria; Euzebyales; Euzebyaceae.